UAGAGUUUGAUCCUGGCUCAGGAUGAACGCUGGCGGUCUGCUUAACACAUGCAAGUCGAACGCAACCUUCGGGUUGAGUGGCGGACGGGUGAGUAACGCGUGAGAAUCUGCCUUGGGGUCGGGGACAACCACUGGAAACGGUGGCUAAUACCGGAUAAGCCUUUGGGUAAAAAAUUUAUUGCCCCAAGAGGAGCUCGCGUCUGAUUAGCUAGUUGGUGAGGUAAGAGCUCACCAAGGCAGCGAUCAGUAGCUGGUCUGAGAGGACGAUCAGCCACACUGGGACUGAGACACGGCCCAGACUCCUACGGGAGGCAGCAGUGGGGAAUUUUCCGCAAUGGGCGAAAGCCUGACGGAGCAAGACCGCGUGAGGGAGGAAGGCUCUUGGGUUGUAAACCUCUUUUCUCAGGGAAGAAGCUCUGACGGUACCUGAGGAAUCAGCCUCGGCUAACUCCGUGCCAGCAGCCGCGGUAAUACGGAGGAGGCAAGCGUUAUCCGGAAUUAUUGGGCGUAAAGCGUCCGCAGGUGGCGAUUCAAGUCUGCUGUCAAAGCACGGGG
This 555-nucleotide ribosomal RNA is filed under the name uncultured organism. RNAcentral describes it as "bacterial SSU rRNA". It matches the Rfam family "Bacterial small subunit ribosomal RNA", at positions 1 to 607 of the family's 1533-position model. The record is from RNAcentral.